This 253-nucleotide ribosomal RNA is filed under the name uncultured bacterium. Its description in RNAcentral is "partial 16S ribosomal RNA". It matches the Rfam family "Bacterial small subunit ribosomal RNA", at positions 524 to 776 of the family's 1533-position model. The record is from RNAcentral.
UACGGAGGGUGCAAGCGUUAUCCGGAUUCACUGGGUUUAAAGGGUGCGUAGGUGGGUAGGUAAGUCAGUGGUGAAAUCCCCGAGCUUAACUUGGGAACUGCCGUUGAUACUAUCUAUCUUGAAUAUCGUGGAGGUAAGCGGAAUAUGUCAUGUAGCGGUGAAAUGCUUAGAUAUGACAUAGAACACCCAUUGCGAAGGCAGCUUACUACACGAUCAUUGACACUGAGGCACGAAAGCGUGGGGAGCAAACAGG